This 253-nucleotide ribosomal RNA is filed under the name uncultured bacterium. RNAcentral's name for it is "partial 16S ribosomal RNA". It matches the Rfam family "Bacterial small subunit ribosomal RNA", at positions 524 to 776 of the family's 1533-position model. The record is from RNAcentral.
UACGUAGGGUGCAAGCGUUGUCCGGAAUCAUUGGGCGUAAAGCGCGCGUAGGUGGCCUCGUAAGUCCGUUGUGAAAGUCAAAGGCUCAACCUUUGAAUGCCGAUGGAUACUGCGAAGCUAGAGUACGGAAGAGGCGAGUGGAAUUCCUGGUGUAGCGGUGGAAUGCGCAGAUAUCAGGAGGAACACCAAUAGCGAAGGCAGCUCGCUGGGACGUUACUGACACUAAGGCGCGAAAGCGUGGGGAGCGAACAGG